GACGAACGCUGGCGGCGUGCUUAACACAUGCAAGUCGAACGGAAAGGCCUCUUUCGGGGGGUACUCGAGUGGCGAACGGGUGAGUAACACGUGAGUAACCUGCCCUUGACUUUGGGAUAACUUCAGGAAACUGGGGCUAAUACCGGAUAGGAGCUCCUGCUGCAUGGUGGGGGUUGGAAAGUUUCGGCGGUUGGGGAUGGACUCGCGGCUUAUCAGCUUGUUGGUGGGGUAGUGGCUUACCAAGGCUUUGACGGGUAGCCGGCCUGAGAGGGUGACCGGCGACAUUGGGACUGAGAUACGGCCCAGACUCCUACGGGAGGCAGCAGUGGGGAAUAUUGCACAAUGGGUGGAAGCCUGAUGCAGCAACGCCGUGUGCGGGAUGACGGCCUUCGGGUUGGAAACCGCUUUCGCUCAUGACGAAGCUUUGUGUGACGGUAGUGGGUAAAGAAGCACCGGCUAACUACGUG
This 467-nucleotide ribosomal RNA is filed under the name uncultured bacterium. Its description in RNAcentral is "partial 16S ribosomal RNA". It matches the Rfam family "Bacterial small subunit ribosomal RNA", at positions 28 to 507 of the family's 1533-position model. The record is from RNAcentral.